AGAACGAACGCUGGCGGCAUGCCUAACACAUGCAAGUCGAACGAGACCUUCGGGUCUAGUGGCGCACGGGUGCGUAACGCGUGGGAAUCUGCCCUUAGGUACGGAAUAACAGUGAGAAAUUACUGCUAAUACCGUAUGAUGUCUUCGGACCAAAGAUUUAUCGCCUAGGGAUGAGCCCGCGUAGGAUUAGCUAGUUGGUGGGGUAAAGGCCUACCAAGGCUACGAUCCUUAGCUGGUCUGAGAGGAUGAUCAGCCACACUGGGACUGAGACACGGCCCAGACUCCUACGGGAGGCAGCAGUGGGGAAUCUUCCACAAUGGGCGAAAGCCUGAUGGAGCAACGCCGCGUGCAGGAUGAAGGUCUUCGGAUCGUAAAGCCCUUUUCUGCGUGACGAAAACAGACGGUAGCGCAGGAAUAAGUCUCGGCUAACUACGUGCCAGCAGCCGC
This 447-nucleotide ribosomal RNA is filed under the name uncultured bacterium. RNAcentral describes it as "SSU rRNA". It matches the Rfam family "Bacterial small subunit ribosomal RNA", at positions 26 to 518 of the family's 1533-position model. The record is from RNAcentral.